Molecule: ribosomal RNA, 288 nt
Filed under: uncultured bacterium
Lineage: Bacteria
Description: partial 16S ribosomal RNA
Rfam family: Bacterial small subunit ribosomal RNA
Source: RNAcentral
GUGGAUUAGAUACCCUGGUAGUCCACGCUGUAAACGAUGUCGAUUUGGAGGUUGUGCCCUUGAGGCGUGGCUUCCGGAGCUAACGCGUUAAAUCGACCGCCUGGGGAGUACGGCCGCAAGGUUAAAACUCAAAUGAAUUGACGGGGGCCCGCACAAGCGGUGGAGCAUGUGGUUUAAUUCGAUGCAACGCGAAGAACCUUACCUGGUCUUGACAUCCACAGAACUUAGCAGAGAUGCUUUGGUGCCUUCGGGAACUGUGAGACAGGUGCUGCACGGUCGUCGACAGCU